GCCUUUAUAAUGUUUUGUUGUGUACAUAUGUAAAACAUAUUUUGUAAAUAAAACUCCUACUACAUAGUCUCAAGCGACUGGGCAAUUUAAUUAUUUUAUAAAUUUCCAAACCAUUAAAUUGUACGUUUUUACAUUUACAUAUCGUUAUUUUAACAUAGCCUUUCAGUACUAGGAUUACAAAACUUGUGAUCCAAACACCAAAUCCAGUAUUUGUA
RNAcentral lists this long non-coding RNA (215 nucleotides) under Mytilus galloprovincialis (Mediterranean mussel). Lineage: Eukaryota; Metazoa; Mollusca; Bivalvia; Mytilida; Mytilidae. The record is from RNAcentral.